Molecule: ribosomal RNA, 266 nt
Filed under: uncultured Staphylococcus sp.
Lineage: Bacteria; Bacillati; Bacillota; Bacilli; Caryophanales; Staphylococcaceae
Description: partial 16S ribosomal RNA
Rfam family: Bacterial small subunit ribosomal RNA
Source: RNAcentral
CGGCGGACGGGUGAGUAACACGUGGGUAACCUACCUAUAAGACUGGGACAACUUCGGGAAACCGGAGCUAAUACCGGAUAAGAUAUCGAACCGCAUGGUUCGAUAGUGAAAGAUGGUUUUGCUAUCACUUAUAGAUGGACCCGCGCCGUAUUAGCUAGUUGGUGAGGUAACGGCUCACCAAGGCAACGAUACGUGGCCGACCUGAGAGGGUGAUCGGCCACACUGGAACUGAGACACGGUCCAGACUCCUACGGGAGGCAGCAGCU